This 995-nucleotide ribosomal RNA is filed under the name uncultured bacterium. RNAcentral describes it as "bacterial SSU rRNA". It matches the Rfam family "Bacterial small subunit ribosomal RNA", at positions 44 to 1019 of the family's 1533-position model. The record is from RNAcentral.
GCGUCUUAAACAUGCAAGUCGUACGAGAAUCCCGGUGCUUGCAUUGGGAGGAAAGUGGCGAACGGGUGAGUAACACGUGGAUAAUCUACCUCUAAGUUGGGGACAACCACUGGAAAUGGUGGCUAAUACCGAAUAGUAUACUUUCUUCAUAUGUUGAGAGUAUUAAAGAUGGGGACCUUCGGGCCUAUCGCUUGGAGAUGAGUCUGCGGCCUAUUAGCUUGUCGGUGGGGUAACGGCCCACCAAGGCGAUGAUGGGUAGCCGGCCUGAGAGGGUGAACGGCCACAUUGGGACUGAGAUACGGCCCAGACUCCUACGGGAGGCAGCAGUUAAGAAUCUUGCGCAAUGGGCGAAAGCUUGACGCAGCGACGCCGCGUGGACGAUGAAGGCCUUCGGGUUGUAAAGUCCGAUAAGCAGGGAAGAAUAAGCAUAGACUAAUAUUCUGUGUGAUGACGGUACCUGCCUAAAGCCCCGGCUAACUACGUGCCAGCAGCCGCGGUAAUACGUAUGGGGCGAGCGUUGUUCGGAAUUAUUGGGCGUAAAGGGCAUCUAGGCGGGAAAUUAAGUUAGGUGUGUAAUCCACAGGCUCAACUUGUGAACUGCAUCUAAAACUGAUUUUCUUGAGUUCGAGAGAGGAGAGCGGAAUUCUUGGUGUAGCGGUGAAAUGCGUAGAUAUCAAGAAGAACACCAGUGGCGAAGGCGGCUCUCUGGCUUAGAACUGACGCUGAAGUGCGAAAGCGUGGGUAGCGAACGGGAUUAGAUACCCCGGUAGUCCACGCCGUAAACGUUGUAUACUAGGUGUUAGUGGCUUGACCACUAGUGCCGAAGCUAACGCAUUAAGUAUACCGCCUGGGGAGUACGCUCGCAAGGGUGAAACUCAAAGAAAUUGACGGGGGCCCGCACAAGCGGUGGAGCAUGUGGUUUAAUUCGACGAUACGCGAAGAACCUUACCUGGGCUUGAACUGUACUUGACAGGUGUAGAGAUACACUCUCCUUC